Molecule: ribosomal RNA, 440 nt
Filed under: uncultured bacterium
Lineage: Bacteria
Description: partial 16S ribosomal RNA
Rfam family: Bacterial small subunit ribosomal RNA
Source: RNAcentral
CCUACGGGAGGCAGCAGUAGGGAAUAUUGCUCAAUGGGGGAAACCCUGAAGCAGCAAAGCCGCGUGGAGGAUGAAGGUUUUCUGAUUGUAAACUCCUUUUGUUAGGGAAGAUAAUCACGGUAUCUGACGACUCAGCCCCGGCUACCUCCGUGCCAGCAGCCGCGGUACUACGGAGGGUGCAAGCGUUACUCGGAAUUACUGGGCGUAAAGAGCGCGUAGGCGGGAUAGCAGGUCAGAUGUGAAAUCCUAUGGCUUAACCAUAGAACUGCAUUUGAAACUGUUAUUCUAGAGUAUGGGAGAGGUAGGUGGAAUUCUUGGUGUAGGGGUAAAAUCCGUAGAGAUCAAGAGGAAGACUCAUUGCGAAGGCGACCUGCUAGAACAUAACUGACGCUGAUGCGCGAAAGCGUGGGGAGCAAACAGGAUUAGAUACCCCAGUAGUC